Molecule: transfer RNA, 73 nt
Filed under: Pteropus alecto (black flying fox)
Lineage: Eukaryota; Metazoa; Chordata; Mammalia; Chiroptera; Pteropodidae
Rfam family: tRNA
About the family: Transfer RNA (tRNA) molecules are approximately 80 nucleotides in length. Their secondary structure includes four short double-helical elements and three loops (D, anti-codon, and T loops). Further hydrogen bonds mediate the characteristic L-shaped molecular structure. tRNAs have two regions of fundamental functional importance: the anti-codon, which is responsible for specific mRNA codon recognition, and the 3' end, to which the tRNAs corresponding amino acid is attached (by aminoacyl-tRNA synthetases). tRNAs cope with the degeneracy of the genetic code in two manners: having more than one tRNA (with a specific anti-codon) for a particular amino acid; and 'wobble' base-pairing, i.e. permitting non-standard base-pairing at the 3rd anti-codon position.
Source: Rfam by way of RNAcentral
GGUUCUAUAGUGUAGUGGUUAGCAUGUCUGCUUUACAUGCAGAAGGUCCUGGGUUCCCGCCCCGGUGGAACCA